GCUGGGCAUGAUGGUAUAUGCCUGUAGUCCCAGCUACUUGGGAGGCUGAGGCAGGAGAAUCGCUUGAACCCAGGAGGUGGAGGUUGCAGUGAGCCGAGACCGUGUCACUGCACUCCAGCCUGGGUGACAGAGCGAGACUCUGUCUCAA
This 148-nucleotide non-coding RNA is filed under the name Theropithecus gelada (gelada). Lineage: Eukaryota; Metazoa; Chordata; Mammalia; Primates; Cercopithecidae. The record is from Rfam by way of RNAcentral.